RNAcentral lists this ribosomal RNA (325 nucleotides) under uncultured eukaryote. RNAcentral's name for it is "partial 18S ribosomal RNA". It matches the Rfam family "Eukaryotic small subunit ribosomal RNA", at positions 1470 to 1796 of the family's 1831-position model. The record is from RNAcentral.
CCCUUAGAUGUUCUGGGCUGCACGCGCGCUACACUGAUGCACUCAACGAGUUUACGACCUUGCCCGAUAGGGUUGGGUAAUCUUUUUAAAAUGCAUCGUGAUGGGGAUAGAUUAUUGCAAUUAUUAAUCUUCAACGAGGAAUUCCUAGUAGACGUAGUUCAUCAGACUGCAUCGAUUACGUCCCUGCCCUUUGUACACACCGCCCGUCGCUCCUACCGAUUGAAUGCUCAGGUGAGCCAUUCGGACUUUCAUCAUGCUGGUUUCCAGUUUUGAUGAAGGAAAGUCUUGCGAACCUUAUCAUUUAGAGGAAGGAGAAGUCGUAACA